GGAUGCGAUCAUACCAGCACUAAAGCACCGGAUCCCAUCAAAACUCCGAAGUUAAGCGUGCUUGGGAGAGAGUAGUACUAGGAUGGGUGACCUCCUGGGAAGUCCUCGUGUUGCAUUCC
Molecule: ribosomal RNA, 119 nt
Filed under: Triticum aestivum (bread wheat)
Lineage: Eukaryota; Viridiplantae; Streptophyta; Magnoliopsida; Poales; Poaceae
Source: RNAcentral